GACAGAGGGUGCAAACGUUGUUCGGAAUUACUGGGCGUAAAGCGCGUGUAGGCGGUUCGUAAAGUCAGGUGUGAAAGCCCUGGGCUUAACCCAGGAAGUGCACUUGAAACUCACGAACUUGAGUCCCGGAGAGGAAGGCGGAAUUCUCGGUGUAGAGGUGAAAUUCGUAGAUAUCGAGAGGAACAUCGGUGGCGAAGGCAGGGUCCUGGCUGGCACCUGACGCUGAUGUGCGAAAGCCAGGGGAGCGAACGGG
Molecule: ribosomal RNA, 253 nt
Filed under: uncultured bacterium
Lineage: Bacteria
Description: partial 16S ribosomal RNA
Rfam family: Bacterial small subunit ribosomal RNA
Source: RNAcentral